UGUUAAUAUUUUCAUCCAUUUUUACUGUUAAAAACUGGCAUGACUGAAAGAAUAACCAAACAGUAACACGCAAUGUGCCACAUGUACCUCAUGCUAACGUACAAGGGCCAGUUUAUAACAGUAGAAAUGGAUGAAAUUUUUAAUA
This is a non-coding RNA of Gossypium hirsutum (cotton), 145 nucleotides long. The record is from Rfam. NCBI's taxonomy places the organism in Eukaryota, Viridiplantae, Streptophyta, Magnoliopsida, Malvales, Malvaceae.